Molecule: ribosomal RNA, 471 nt
Filed under: Staphylococcus aureus
Lineage: Bacteria; Bacillati; Bacillota; Bacilli; Caryophanales; Staphylococcaceae
Description: bacterial LSU rRNA
Rfam family: Bacterial large subunit ribosomal RNA
Source: RNAcentral
ACGAAAGGCGUAACGAUUUGGGCACUGUCUCAACGAGAGACUCGGUGAAAUCAUAGUACCUGUGAAGAUGCAGGUUACCCGCGACAGGACGGAAAGACCCCGUGGAGCUUUACUGUAGCCUGAUAUUGAAAUUCGGCACAGCUUGUACAGGAUAGGUAGGAGCCUUUGAAACGUGAGCGCUAGCUUACGUGGAGGCGCUGGUGGGAUACUACCCUAGCUGUGUUGGCUUUCUAACCCGCACCACUUAUCGUGGUGGGAGACAGUGUCAGGCGGGCAGUUUGACUGGGGCGGUCGCCUCCUAAAAGGUAACGGAGGCGCUCAAAGGUUCCCUCAGAAUGGUUGGAAAUCAUUCAUAGAGUGUAAAGGCAUAAGGGAGCUUGACUGCGAGACCUACAAGUCGAGCAGGGUCGAAAGACGGACUUAGUGAUCCGGUGGUUCCGCAUGGAAGGGCCAUCGCUCAACGGAUAAAAG